AGGAGUUGAUCAUGGCUCAGAACGAACGCUGGCGGCGCGUUUAAGCAUGCAAGUCGAGCGGCAAGGGCCUUCGGGCCCCUAGAGCGGCGGACGGGUGAGUAACACGUGGACAAUCUGCCCCCCGGCCCGGGAUAGCCCAGGGAAACCUGGAUUAAUACCGGAUGAGACGGGACCCGCGAUGGCGGGACCCGGGAAAGGCGCUGCGGCGCCGCCGGGGGAUGAGUCUGCGUCCCAUUAGCUAGACGGCGGGGUAACGGCCCACCGUGGCGACGAUGGGUAGCCGGCCUGAGAGGGUGGACGGCCACAUUGGAACUGAGACACGGUCCAGACUCCUACGGGAGGCAGCAGCUAAGAAUCUUCCGCAAUGGGCGAAAGCCUGACGGAAGCGACGCCGCGUGAACGAAGAAGGCCGUGAGGUUGUAAAGUUCUUUUCGGGAGGGGGAACAACCGUGGCAGGGAAUGGCCGCGGGAUGACGUGAAUCCCGGAAUAAGCCCCGGCUAACUACGUGCCAGCCGCCGC
RNAcentral lists this ribosomal RNA (520 nucleotides) under uncultured bacterium. RNAcentral's name for it is "bacterial SSU rRNA". It matches the Rfam family "Bacterial small subunit ribosomal RNA", at positions 1 to 518 of the family's 1533-position model. The record is from RNAcentral.